Molecule: non-coding RNA, 5973 nt
Organism: Callithrix jacchus (white-tufted-ear marmoset)
Lineage: Eukaryota; Metazoa; Chordata; Mammalia; Primates; Cebidae
Source: RefSeq, a predicted model, not a curated record
CUCCGGGGCCCCUCCGCUUCCGGAGAUCGCCUCAGAGUGGUCCCAGCGAGAAGAGGGCCGGGUCUUAGUCACGCCAGCGAGAAGGCGACCAAUGGUGGCUGAGAUGGGCGGGCGGGGGAAGUCCGGCUCAGACCUCGUCAGGUCGCGGAAAGAGAAGACGGAAUGAGCUCUUCGUGGGGGCUGUCAUGGCUGUUUGGCCGUUCUCGGACUUCUUUUUAGCCAGGAAAGCUGGUGGUCAGGUCAUGGAAAGCGCUAGAUUCAGGGCUCUAGAGCCAUGCUUUAGAUAGACCCUUGAGUACAUUGGUGAAUUAAAGUCAUUCACAAAGGAAUUCUCUUGCUCAGUUAGAGACAGGUUCAAUGUUAGGGUCGGAAUGAUGACAAUAGCAGGAAGAGAGGUAACAUCAAUUGAAUGCUUUAUGUCCAUGAGACUCUGCUAAGCACUUUCUGUGAUUUGCUUCAAUUCAGGGGCCUUGUGAACCACGUGCAACUAGAGAUUUUAUUGUCCUUCAUUUUGAAGAUGGGGAAGGAUCCAAGGAGUUAAAUCUCUUGCUGAGCAUUCCUUUUGUCACCCAUCCAUAUUCCCCUCAAUUCAUAUUCCCCUCGGGGUCCUCCAGCCCAGCUCCCUGGUUCUAAAGUGAAAACUGACUCCCAGAGAAGAAAAUUUAGAUGCUCCAGUUCUCACGAUAAAGCCAGGACACCCUUUCCCCAUGCCUCAUAGAAUAUUAGUUCUCCAGCUGGAACGGGGGAUGAUGGCAUUGGGUAUCUUCUUUUGGCCUUCACUUUUAUUGCCCAGUUAAAUGGCCAGGAAUUCAGUGGUUUUACAGCAGAUGGAAUGAGGGUUGGCAAUGGAGGACUGGGCAUUCCAGUCAAAGAAGCCCAUUAGUCAAAGAGCCUUCCUGUCCCUUCUUGCAGAUGAUAAGCCAAGUGAUGUGAAGGACAGAAGACACAAACUACCAUUUACUGAGUACAUACUAAGAACUGACACUUUGCAAGGUGCUUUACUUUACAAAAUUUAAUCCUCCCGACUACUUUUUUUUUUUUUUUUUUUUUUUUUGAGACCGAGUUUCACUCUUGUUACCCAGGCUGGAGUGCAAUGGCGUGAUCUCGGCUCACCGCAACCUCCGCCUCCUGGGUUCAGGCAAUUCUCCUGCCUCAGCCUCCUGAGUAGCUGGGAUUACAGGCACGCGCCACCGUGCCCAGCUAAUUUUUUGUAAUUUUUAGUAGAGCCGGGGUUUCACCAUGUUGACCAGGUUGGUCUCGAUCUGUUGACCUCGUGAUCCACCCGCCUCGGCCUCCCAAAGUGCUGGGAUUACAGGCUUGAGCCACUGCGCCCAGCCCCUCCUGACUACUUUUUGAAAUUACAUGAUUAAAAAACUAAAAAAACUUUCUGGGUGCAGUGGCAUGUGUUUGCAGUCCCAGCUACUUGGGAAACUAAGGGGGGGAGACCCAGGAGUUUGAGGCUGUAUGUGAUAGAGUUUGUGAAUAGCAACUGUGUCAGAGGCGUUUGAACCACAGCGAUUUCAUCUUGAAUAGGGACUGGUUAAAAUAAGGCUGAGACCUACUGGGCUGCAUUCCCGGGAAGUUAAGGCAUUCUUAGUCACCGGAUGAGAUAGGAGGUUGACACAAGAUACAGGUCACAAAGACCUUGUUGAUAAAACAGCAUGCAACAAAGAAGCUGGCCUAAUCCCACCAAAACCAAGAUGGCACUGAAAGGGAUCUCUGGUCGUCCUCACCGCUGAUUAUAUGCUAAUUUAGCAGCUUGGAAGUCAAAGGGGAAGUGAUACAUAUGCUUUGUGAUAGGCUGGCCAUGGUCUGAGAGAAAGAAGAGCUAGAACUUAGAAGCCAUAAAAAUUUGGCAUGUCCUCAAAAUCUAUUCCCAGCAGAGUGAGUGCCAGAUCUGGUAAAAGCAUCUAAAGGGUCCAAGAGACUGUCUUCUUAUCUCAAGAUCUGUUGUCUACAAAAUACAAUAAAUUCAGCCCAUCAAGUAAAAUGAUAGAGGAGACCUGACACGUCUUCAUUUUGCCUUUACUGAGGAGGUAUCCACAGAGACAGGUGAGUCAGUCACCACGUCUGAGAGGUUCCCAGAGCACUCCAGGAAUUGACAGGGGCUUGAAUCAGUGUGGGAGCAGCAGAGAUGCAGAGAAGUGUUGGAUCAAGAACUUCAUUUAAUAGUUGGGUUUGGUGGCAUGUGCCUAUAGUCCCAGCUACUCAGGAGGUCAAGGCAGGAGGAUCAUAUGAGCCCAGGUGUUUGAGUCCAGCCUGGGCAACAUAGUGAGAUGCCAUUUCUAAAAUAAAAAAAAAGAAGAAGAAGAAGAAAGAGAAAAAGAAAAAAGUGACAAUUAAUGUCAGGUAUUAGUGAAGAGUGAAUAGUAAAGCUGAAGAAAGUUUGAAGAAGGUUGAAAAAUGAACUUCCAUUUAAGUAACGUUUAUUGAGCUCUGGCAAUGCACCAAGCACUCUUCUAGGGAUUAGGGAUAUGGAGAUGAAUGGGACAAGGCCUCUGCCCACCUGGAGCUUACACUCCAGAGGCAACAUAGGUAGUAAACAAGUAGGCAGAGAUAUAAUAUCAUUUUAGAUCAUAUAAAUGCUAUGAAGAUGACACAACAAGAUAAGGGGACCAAGACUAAUCGAGGCUGCUUGAGAUGGAGCGGUUGUUGAAGAUUAAUUAGAUGGAUGGGAAUGGGGAAAAGGAGGCAGGAAGGGUAGAUUUCAGGGUUUGAGCUUGAGCUUUGGAGGAGAAAGGUAGUUUAUUUGCUAAGAAAGGAAGCCUGGAGAAUAAAUAAGUGAUUGGUUUUCCCAGCCACUCCUUACUUCAGCUUGGGGAUGCCUGGCAUGUUUUGCCACAGGAGUCAGCUGGUUUCAGCAGUUGGUGAUUUUCAUCUCAGAGGCCCCCAGCGUGGGUGUCACAGACUUCUGCUCUGCCCAGGAAUGCGUCCUACCAGGCAUUUCCUAGGGAGCAGGGAAGAGCCUAGCCUCUCCCAGGAGUUCUCCUCUGCCUGCUGAUACCUGCCUCCUGGCACCUCCACCUCAAAAGCCCAGUCUCAUCAUCCUCCCACUCCCUCUUCAUUUCCCUAAAGGCCCUGUUUCAGAUGGUGGUUUCAGCCACCACCCACUUGUCCAGUAUAGAAAGUUAGGAAUUGUUCUGGACUCCUCCUGCCCCCUCACAGUGCACAUUCAACCAGUCACUGAGUCCUCCUGCUAGUUCCUUCCUGUCUCUUCCUUCCUGUGUAACCGCACUGCUCUCGCCUGAGCACCAGCCUCUGUGUCUCUCAUUUAUACUCUUAAAGACCCUUCCUAGUGGGUGUAGUGGCUCACGCCUAUAAUCCAGCACUUUGGGAGGCCGAAGCCAGUGGAUCAUUUGAGGUCAGGAGUUCAAGACCAGCCUAGCCAACAUGGUGAAACCCUGUCUUUACAAAAAAUACAAAAAUUAGCCGAGCAUGAUGACACAUACCUGUCAUCCCAGCUACCCAGGAGGCUGAGGCAGAGAAUCACUUGAAGAGGCGGAGGCUGCAGUGAGCUGAGAUUGUUCCACUGCACUCCAGCCUGGGUGAUAGAGCCAGACUCCAUCUCAAACAUACAUACAAAAAAGACCCUUCCUGGCAGGUAUGAUGGCUCAUGCCUGUAAUCCCAGUGACUGGAGAGGCUGAGGUGGCUGAGGCAGGAGGAUCAGUUGAGGCCAGGAGUUUGAGACCAGAUUGGGCAACAUAGCAAGACUCUGUCUCUAAAAUGUAAAAAAAGAUUCUUCAUGCCUCUUUCCUGGCUUUAUCUGGCCCACCCUCUUUACUCAUGCCAGAGAGAGUUUUCCCAAUAGGAAACUAGAAUGUAUCAUUUUCAGGGCUUAGGACCAUGUCUUUCCCUGACGCAUUGUCUUCAAGAUAAAAUCACAGCUCCUGAGUCUAGGGUAUAAGAUCAGUCAUGAUUGGCCUCUGUGUAUAUCUUUAGCUGCAUCUCACGCCUCUAUUUACCCUUCAUUAUAUGCUCCAAUCAGACAAAAGCUGCUUCUCGCAAACUGAACGCUUGCUGCUGCCUGAUGUCCUCACCCCUUUUACAAGUAGAAGGCUCUCUUUUUAAGUUCCCAUUGAACACAUAUUUCUACUUUAAAACCCAGCCUAGAAAUUCCCAUCUCCAGAAAAGCUUCCUCUCUUCUAUGCUACUUCUGGCCCGUGUACGAGCUUCUACUUUUUUCACUCACUGCAAAAUAAUCCGUUUACUUGCCUGUCUCCUUCACUGCCAGAUGAGCUCUUUGAAGGCUAGGAUUGUGACUUAUUCUGUUCAGUGUCCCCAAGCCUAGCGGGAGAUCUGCACCCGAAUGGGGACUUACAAAUAAUAAAAUCAGAUGGGUGUUGGCCCAGGUCCUUCAGAUGCAACCUGGAAACUCUCAUUUUUGUAGAAACUUCUAGAAACAGAUAAUUAAUGACAACAACAAAAGCAGUUGGUACUUCUCAUAGGAGGGAAUCACAGUAUUUUAGAAGGGUGGGACCAGACAGUGUGGCCUAGGAGCCAUCAUGUACUACUUCCUCACACCAUGUUUAGUCAGGCGCAGCUCUAAUCACAGGUGGCCCUCUUCCUGGGCCUGGGUUACCUGUUAGUGUAUUUAUUAAGGCUUCCAUCAGGUUAGAGUGGUUAAAAACUAGGCAUUGUAAUCUGGCAGAAUUAGGUCCCAAUCCCUGAUUGGCUAUGAAACUUCAGAGUGGUAAUUUUGCUUCUCCAUGUCUCAGUUUUCUCUUUUAUAAAAUGGGGAUAAAUCAUACAGGAGAUCUCCAAAAGGUUAGAAAAAAAGCCGGGGGGAUGGCUCCCUUGCCAUUGAGCCUUUGUGAAGAUGAAAUCACUUUGUGUAUCUGAAGUGUUUAACUCAGUAUUUGGCAUUGGGAACAAAAGGAUAGGCUUGGUGUUGACUAUUAGACAAAAAAUUCGUGUUGACAUUUAAGUCUCAAUGUAAAUAUCACUUCUGCCCCUGGUAUUGCACGAAAACAGAUUAGAUUACUUUUUCAGAUAAGUCUGCUUUACUUUCUCAGGUAAGUUUUUUUUUUUUUUUUGAGACAGUCUCGCUCUGUCACCCGGGCUGGAGUGCAGUGGCAUGAUCUCGGCUCAUUGCAACCUCCAUCUCUGGGUUCAAGAUUCUCCUACCUCAGCCUCCUGAGGAGCUAGGAAUACAGGCUUGUGCCACCACACUGGCGAAUAUUGUAUUUUUAGUAGAGACAGAGUUUUGCCAUAUUGGCCAGACUGGUCUCAAACUGACCUCAAGUGAUUCACUGCCUCCACCUCCCAAAGUGCAGGAAUUACAGGUGUGAGCCACCAUGCCUGGCCCUCAUAGAACUUUAAUACUUUGGUUUAUAGUAUUCAUCAUGAUGUCAUUUAGUCUGACUUUUUCACUCAACUCAGAAAGCUCCCAGGGGGCGUGGCUGUUAUUUUUAUUUACCAUGUGUCCUUAACUCUUAACACAGUUACUGGUACAUAAACAGCUCUAAUUGAAUGUUUGAAUAAAGAAAUGAAUGAAUGAGUAAGCCUUUCCUAAUGGCUGCUACCACUAAAGAUCUUAGCAUAGUGUGUGUGUGUGUGUGUGUGUGUGUGUGUGUGUGUGCGUGUGGUAAGACUAUUCAGUAAGGCUAGAAGUGAAAAAGCUGGUAGAAAGCCCAUGGUGUUGGAGAAUGAAGGAAAACUGAUUAGGGAGCUCCUCACCAGUAUAAGGAAGGACUAAGAGCACAUAAGGACAGGAUCAUAAAAUUCCGCAUCAUAGGAUUUUUGAGGCUGUCACUGCCUUAGGCUGUGAGGCCACUGCAUAUAAGAAUAGUUUGCACAGUUCUGCUGUGGAAAUCAGGGUUUUUACUGAAAGCUUAGCCAACUAGCCAGCAAGAAUAGCUUUCUGGAGCUUACAGCCUUAUGAAAAUUCCCAAACUGAGGAUAAUCCCAAAAAAGGUUUUCUUGCUGGCUUUGAAAAGCAGGAUAUACUUUUUAAAAUCCCCUCUUUAUCUAUG